This 253-nucleotide ribosomal RNA is filed under the name uncultured bacterium. RNAcentral describes it as "partial 16S ribosomal RNA". It matches the Rfam family "Bacterial small subunit ribosomal RNA", at positions 524 to 776 of the family's 1533-position model. The record is from RNAcentral.
UACGUAGGUGGCAAGCGAUACUCGGAAUCACUAGGCGUAAAGCGCAGGUAGGCGGUUGGAUAAGUUUCUUGUGAAAGCUCCCGGCUUAACUGGGAGAGGUCAAGGAAUACUGUCUGACUUGAGUGUGGUAGGGGUAACUGGAAUUCCCGGUGUAGCGGUGAAAUGCGUAGAUAUCGGGAGGAAUACCUAUGGCGAAAGCAGGUUACUGGGCCAUCACUGACGCUGAGCUGCGAAAGCUAGGGGAGCAAACAGG